GAGGACGACGCUGGCGGCGUGCCUAACACAUGCAAGUCGAACGAGAUCCAUGGGAGCUUGCUCCCGGAAGAUCUAGUGGCGAACGGGUGAGUAACACGUGAGAAACCUGCCCUGGAGUGGGGAAUAACUCGGGGAAACUCGAGCUAAUACCGCAUACCCUCGGAUGGUCGCAUGGCCGACCGAGGAAAGAUUUAUCGCUCUAGGAGGGUCUCGCGGCCUAUCAGCUAGUUGGUGGGAUAACGGCCUACCAAGGCAACGACGGGUAGCUGGUUUGAGAGAACGAUCAGCCACACUGGGACUGAGACACGGCCCAGACUCCUACGGGAGGCAGCAGUGGGAAUCUUGCGCAAUGGGCGAAAGCCUGACGCAGCAACGCCGCGUGCGGGAUGACGGCCUUCGUGGUUGUAAACCGCUUUCAGCAGGGACGAAAAUGACGGUACCUGCAGAAGAAGCCCCGGCUAACUACGUG
This 469-nucleotide ribosomal RNA is filed under the name uncultured bacterium. RNAcentral describes it as "bacterial SSU rRNA". It matches the Rfam family "Bacterial small subunit ribosomal RNA", at positions 33 to 507 of the family's 1533-position model. The record is from RNAcentral.